CAGUAGCCGCGGGAAAACAGAGGGUGCGAGCGUUAAUCGGAUUUACUGGGCGUAAAGCGUGCGUAGGCGGCUUCUUAAGUCGGAUGUGAAAUCCCUGAGCUUAACUUAGGAAUUGCAUUCGAUACUGGGAAGCUAGAGUAUGGGAGAGGAUGGUAGAAUUCCAGGUGUAGCGGUGAAAUGCGUAGAGAUCUGGAGGAAUACCGAUGGCGAAGGCAGCCAUCUGGCCUAAUACUGACGCUGAGGUACGAAAGCAUGGGGAGCAAACAGGAUUAGAUACCCCUGUAGUCCCUGUCUCUUAUAA
This 301-nucleotide ribosomal RNA is filed under the name uncultured bacterium. RNAcentral's name for it is "partial 16S ribosomal RNA". It matches the Rfam family "Bacterial small subunit ribosomal RNA", at positions 509 to 809 of the family's 1533-position model. The record is from RNAcentral.